GGAAGGGUUGUAUUUAUUAGAUAAAGAACCAAUAUAAUUGGUGACUCAUAAUAACUUUACGGAUCACAUUAAAUGUGACAUAUCAUUCAAGUUUCUGACCUAUCAGCUUUAGACGGUAGGGUAUUGGCCUACCGUGGCAAUGACGGGUAACGGGGAAUUAGGGUUCGAUUCCGGAGAGGGAGCCUGAGA
This 189-nucleotide ribosomal RNA is filed under the name Cryptosporidium parvum. RNAcentral's name for it is "partial 18S ribosomal RNA". It matches the Rfam family "Eukaryotic small subunit ribosomal RNA", at positions 194 to 401 of the family's 1831-position model. The record is from RNAcentral. Lineage: Eukaryota; Apicomplexa; Conoidasida; Eucoccidiorida; Cryptosporidiidae.